This 378-nucleotide ribosomal RNA is filed under the name uncultured soil crust cyanobacterium. RNAcentral describes it as "bacterial SSU rRNA". It matches the Rfam family "Bacterial small subunit ribosomal RNA", at positions 376 to 770 of the family's 1533-position model. Lineage: Bacteria; Bacillati; Cyanobacteriota. The record is from RNAcentral.
CGAAAGCCUGACGGAGCAAUACCGCGUGAGGGAGGAAGGCUCUUGGGUUGUAAACCUCUUUUCUCAGGGAAGAAURAUGACGGUACCUGAGGAAUAAGCAUCGGCUAACUCCGUGCCAGCAGCCGCGGUAAUACGGAGGAUGCAAGCGUUAUCCGGAAUGAUUGGGCGUAAAGCGUCCGCAGGUGGCUUAUCAAGUCGAUUGUCAAAGGUCCUGGCUCAACUGGGAACAGGCAGUGGAAACUGAAAAGCUAGAGUGCGGUAGGGGUAGAGGGAAUUCCCGGUGUAGCGGUGAAAUGCGUAGAGAUCGGGAAGAACACCAGUGGCGAAAGCGCUCUACUAGGCCUGCACUGACACUCAUGGACGAAAGCUAGGGGAGCG